AGGGUUCGAUUCUGGCUCAGGAUGAACGCUAGCUACAGGCUUAACACAUGCAAGUCGAGGGGCAUCAUUCGAAAGCUUGCUUUGAAGAUGGCGACCGGCGCACGGGUGAGUAACGCGUAUCCAACCUUCCCCUUAGUAGGGCAUAGCCCGGCGAAAGUCGGAUUAAUACCCUAUGUUCUUUACGGAUGGCAUCUGAAGUAAAGCAAAGAUUUAUCGCUAAGGGAUGGGGAUGCGUCUGAUUAGGUUGUUGGCGGGGUAACGGCCCACCAAGCCUACGAUCAGUAGGGGUUCUGAGAGGAAGGUCCCCCACAUUGGUACUGAGACACGGACCAAACUCCUACGGGAGGCAGCAGUGAGGAAUAUUGGUCAAUGGGCGAGAGCCUGAACCAGCCAAGUAGCCGUGCAGGAUGACGGCCCUAUGGGUUGUAAACUGCUUUUGUCAGGGGAUAAAAAGGAAACGUGUUUCCUAUUGCAUGUACCUGAAGAAUAAGGACCGGCUAAUUCCGUGCCAGCCGCCGC
Molecule: ribosomal RNA, 519 nt
Filed under: uncultured bacterium
Lineage: Bacteria
Description: bacterial SSU rRNA
Rfam family: Bacterial small subunit ribosomal RNA
Source: RNAcentral